AUGGGCUCCUGUUUUUCCCGGUAAUCCCCUCGUCGCGCAGGAACUUGGGGCUUCCUGCGUUCGCCUGAGCGCUCGCUCUGGACCGUCUCCCCUGGGUGCUCGGUCCAGCCCUCGGCCGCCCGGUGUGACUUUCAGGUGCCUCCUUAUUAGAGAAAAAAAAAUGUUCCAAGAUUCAUUGGGAAUUGUGGAUUUCCUCACUGUUCAUGCUAAACCAAGAGAGACCAUGCAGUGCUCAGAAGGAUAUUGCAGUAUAGGAGCAGUAAAGGCCAGCAUUCUAGCUAA
Lutra lutra (Eurasian river otter) is the source of this 282-nucleotide long non-coding RNA. RefSeq lists it as uncharacterized. The record is from RefSeq and is a predicted model, not a curated record. The transcript has 4 exons. NCBI's taxonomy places the organism in Eukaryota, Metazoa, Chordata, Mammalia, Carnivora, Mustelidae.